Long non-coding RNA from Antechinus flavipes (yellow-footed antechinus), 9124 nucleotides. RefSeq lists it as uncharacterized. NCBI's taxonomy places the organism in Eukaryota, Metazoa, Chordata, Mammalia, Dasyuromorphia, Dasyuridae. The transcript is spliced from 2 exons. The record is from RefSeq and is a predicted model, not a curated record.
CACUGUCGAUUGACCCAAAUGGGUGGGUCUUUCCCUGGAGUUUCAGGAAUGACUGGUUUAGACUGUUGUCAGCUUUACUUGGCAACUCUACCCCUUUGGAAACAAGCAGCUCAGGUUCGCAGCUCUUGGCUGAGCUCCUGGAGCCCAGCCCACAUAUCCCAGAGAGGAUUGUGUUUUUCACGACCCUGCCUUCUGUUAUUUAAAACAAACAAAAAAGACCUUCUCCAUGGAAUUCUGAGGGACCUUUUACCUCUCCUUUAGCUUUAUUUUGCUGCCUUGUGACUAUUCAUAUGACAUUUAUCCAUAAUUAUUAGAAUCUCUUUUUUUAGCAACCAAGUUAGCCUCAUGCUUAAUCCAACUCCUCUUAUUCCUUUUUCUAGCCACCUUGGCUCUUUAUUCCCUCCUUGUUGAUCUUUACGCUAUCCUAAAUUCUGAAGCUGUAGUCCACUAUGUUACUAAUAGCCAAGGGAGAAGAAGUCUGACUAGCUUGGAGAUAAGGUCAUUUGAGGUCCUGCUUGUCAGAUGGAUGCCAGGAUUUUGUGCUUUCCUUAUUUAGAAUCUCAGAGUUGGGAAAACCCUACUAGGAUCUUUGCCAUUCCUAUAUACAAGAUAUCCCAAAAGUCUUACAAUACUAAAGCUUACCAGAGGAGCAGACGGGCAGAUUCUCAGUACUUGAGUUCGCAAUAAUUAUGUUGUUCCCUUUGUCUUUUUCCUCCUCUCAGCCCCACCACAUGUAACCAUACAUCUAUUAUUUUAUCCUUUCAAUAUCCUAAUAAAAUAUUAAGGGAAAAUUCAUUUUAGAAAAUCAUUCUUACUGGAAAAACUAAGCACACAUUCAGGACUUCUCUAAAGACAACUACAAAAUACACUUUACAGAAAUAAAAAAAUGGAUCAUCCUAAGCCCAAUGAAAAUACUAUCUAAAUUAAUUUACAGACAGUACUGACUAAACUACCAAAGAAUUACUUUAUAGAACUAAACAAAAUAAAUUAAUCUAGAGAAAGACAAGAAUCUCAAGAGACAUAAUGAAAAAUGUGAAAGUGAGUGGGCCUGUCAUUAGCAGAAUGCAAACUUCUAUAAAAUAGUAUAAUCAUUCAAAACUAUUUGGUACCAGUUUAAAAUAAGAAAAUGUGAUCGAUGUAACAAUAGGUUAAGGUUAGCUCCAGAUUGAAUAUAUUAGCCUAGUGCCCCAUAAACCCAAGGAUACUGACAACUAGUAAUUGACAAAAAAUUUUGGGGAAGCUAGAAAACAAUCCAGUAAAAAUUAGAUCUAAACAUGUAAGAUAUACCAUGUUGUUUUUCAGUCAUGUACUACCCUUCAUGACCCUAUUUGGUGUUUUCUUGGCAACAAUACAGGAGUGAUUUGCCAUUUUCUUCUCCAGCAGAUCCUUUCUAUCAGGCAAUCAGAUUAAGCGCAUGGUCACAUAGGAAAUAUCUGAGGCGUCAUUUGAAAGGUUUUUCCUGAUUUCAGACCCAAUACUCUAGCCACUGAACCACUGACUGCAUCUAUCUGUUAUCUUUUUGAAGCUUAACAUAUGCUAAUAUAAGCUCUAAACAGAUGUGUGAUCUAAACCUAACAUGUCACAUCAUUUAAAAAAAUAGGAAAUAACUACCCAAAUAUGACUAGAAAAUUAACAAAGCUGAGAAUAAGAGAUGAUUUGAUCAUAAGGUAUUCUGAGAAGUGAAGAUUAGUACAGGAACCCAGGUGAUUCAGGGUGAGACCAAGAAGGCGUAACAAUCUUAUCCACUGGAACUAGGACAAAACCUCAGUUUAGAUACUAGAGAUGAGUGUGCUAGUCCCUAUAAAUAUUUUUUUUAAAAAAAGUAUAUCUAAAGAUCUUUAAGAAGGAAAGAAUAAUGAAUAUGAGCAAAGACUUAAUUUUCCAUAAGAACUACAUGAAUACCUAGAAAAAAUAAAGCAAGAGGUUUAAAAAAAAUUAAAUCAAUAAACAAAUCAAAGAGUGUACGAAAUCUUACCUAAAGGAAUCCCUCAAAACUAGACAAAACAGAAAUCUGUGAUUCUAUGAGACAAGAAAUAUUAAAAUUGGAAAGAUUGAAAAUUGGAAGGAAAAGUAAUAUAUCAGAUAUCAAAAGGAAUUGACUUAGAAAAUAGGUCAAAGAGAGUUAAUUUUUAAAUUGUUGGUCUCCUUAAAAUCCAUGAAUUAAAAUAAAGCCUGGAUACAUUAUUUUUAAAAAUCACAAAUGAAAAUUUUCCAGAAUCAGGGUGCAGAGUAAAGAUAGAAUUUACUACUAAUUACAUUCUGGAGGAAAAAAGAAAUCUCAGGAAUGAUAUAGCCAACAUUUAGAGCUCCCUUGUCCAAGAAAAAAUACUGCAUGGACCCAGAAAGAAACAGUUCAAGAACCAAAAAACCAGAGUCAGGAUCACACAAGAUCUGGCAGUUUCUACUAUAAACAAGAAGAAAUUUUGGAAUGUAAUGUUCCAAAAGGCAAAGGAUACUGCCUUACAACCGGGUAUGACUUAUCCUGUAAAGCAGAGUAUAAUCCUACAGAGGGAAAAUGAUGAACCUUUAAUGGAAAUAUUUCUGAUGAAAAGAUAAGAGCUGAGAAGAAAUUUGAAAAUAUAAACAAGAGUCUAUAGAAACCUAGCAAAGUAAAUUUACUAAAGCAAUUGGAAGAAGCCAUACAAUGAUACAGUGCAAUAAUUUUAAUAGAGAAGAAAUGUGUCCCUUCAAAACCUUAAUGUCUUCAAAGAGUAUUGAGGGAAUUAAAUAAGAAAAAUACAACCUGAGGAUCAGUUGUGAUGUUUUACAGAUUUGAAUGUACAAAGAAGGGAGAAGAGAAUAAAACCUAUUAAUUCUUAUAAGUGUAUGAGAAGAGAGGCAUAUACAUAUGGAGGAAGGGGUAAGAGGGAGUGGGACAUCAAAUGUACUUCAUCUGAAAUGGACAAAGAAGUGGUGAACACAUGCAUGAAUAUAGUGUGAUGUAGAAAUUUAUCAGAUUCAACAGGAAAAUAGGCAUAAAAAACCCUGGGCUUAGGUUAAGAAGGAUGAUAUUGAGGGAACAAAUAGUUGCUAGCAAAAUGAAUUUACUAAUUCAGAAAGAGGAUUAACAAAGGGAAGAGGGGGGAAGAGAGGGAAUGGGUUCUAAGGGGUACCUUUGCCUCUUAGACAAUUGAGGAAUGGCUGCAAAAAAAAUUGUAUAUGAAUAUAAUGGAAUAUUACUAUGUCAUAUGAAAAUAGUAAGACACGAACUAAUGCAGAAUAAAAUAAGCAGAACAGUUUUCCAAUUACAUGUAAAGAUAAUAUUCAACAUCCAUUUUUGUAAGGUUUUUGCGUUCCAAUUUUUUUUCUUCCUCCCCAUUCCCCAAGAUGGCAAACAAUCUGAUACAGGUUAUCAGUCAUUUCAAACACAUUUCCAUAAUAGUUGUGUUGUGAAAGAAAAAGCAGAACAAAAGGAAAAAAACCACUGGGGAAAAAAAGCAAGCAAACAAACAAAAAAAGGUGAAAAUAGUCUGCUUUGAUCUGCAUUCAGUCUCCAUAGUUCUCUCUCUGGAUGCAGAUGGCAUUUUCCAUCUCAAGUUGGAAUCGUCUUGGAUCACUAUAUUGCUGAGAAGGGCUAAGUCUAACAUGAUUGAUCAUCACACAAUCUCGCUGUUAACUAUGUACAAUGUUCUGGUUUUACCCUCUUUACUCAGCAUCAGUUCAUGUAAGUCUCUCCAGGCCUUUCUGAAAUCCUCCUGCUGGUCAUUCCUUACAGAACAAUAAUAUUCCAUAACAUUCAUACACCACAAUUUACCCAGCCAUUCUCCAAUUGAUGAGCACCCAUUCAGUUUCCAGUUUCUGGCUAUUACAAAAAGAGCUGCCACAAACAUUUUGGCACAUACAGGAUCCUUUCCCUUCUUUAGUAUCUCUUUGGGGUAUAAGCCCAGUAGAAACACUGCUGGAUCAAAGGGUAUGCACAGUUUCAUAGCUCUUUGGGCACAGUUCCAAAUUGUUCUCCAGAAUGGUUAGAUCAACUCACAACCCCACCAACAAUGUAUUAGUGUUCCAGUUUUCCCACCUCCCCUUCAACAUUUAUUAUUGUCUUUUCUUGUCUUCUUAGCCAAUCUAAUAAGUAUGAAGUAGUAGUGAGAUCACAUUUUAACAAUAUGCAAAUGUCAUGCCAAAGGAGACAAAUGUCAUGCACAUACAUGAUAUAUACAAUGUGAAUGAAAGAUGAUUUCAAAAGAACGGUGAUGGAGAAUUGUAGAGGGCUCUAAGAGAAUGUGUAAAUUAAGCUGAAUCUUGAAGUAAGUCAGGGAAGCAAAAAGGUAGAGAAAAGGACAAAAGCAUUCCAGGCAUGGGGGACUAAUCAGUACAAAGGCAUGGAGUGGAAAUACGGAGUUUGGUAUGUGAGGAAAAGAGCAGGAAGGCUGAUACAGCUGGAACAUGGCAUUUGGAAGACAGUAAAAUGUAAGACUGUUAAGAUAGGAGGGGACAGGUUAUGAAGGGCUUCUGAUAUCAAGCAGAAUAUUUUGUAUUUGAUCCUAAAGGGAAUAGAGUCACAAGGAUUUCUUAAGUAUUAGGGGAGUAGAUCAGGGUGACAGUCAAAUCUAUACAUAAAAAUCAUUUUGGCAGCUGAAUGGAGGAUGAUUUGGAAUGGAGAGAGAAGAGUUAGGGAUGUCAAACGAGGCGAUUGAAGCCUUGAUGUGUGAGGUGAUGGUGGCCCUUUCUAAAAGAGGAGAGGAAGUGGCAAUGUGAGUAGAGAUAAGAGAAUAUAUUUACUAGAAAUGCUUUGUAGAUAGGCAGAAACAUCAAGAUCUGCUUUGAGUGUGCUGAUUGAUUAUAUGUGAGGAAUCAGAGAUGGCACUGACAUUGGUGAUCUGGGUGUCUAAUAGAUAGCAGUCUAAGUUGUAUGCAUAGUUGCCUCAGGGGAAAACAAAAGAUAUUCCUUGAGAAAAAUAGCAAAGUUAGAAAGGGAAAAAAAUUGGGGAAGAUAAGUCAUUUUUUGGAUAUCACAUAUUAGAGUGGCUGAUGAGACAUCCAAUUUGAGAUAUUCAAAAGACAAUUAAUGAUAGCCUGGAGUUUAGGACCCAGAAUCAUCUUCAUAAAGAUGGUGAUUGAAUCCAUGGAAGCUGAUGAAAUCACCAAGUGAAUCAGUACCGAGGGAGAAAAGAAGACGAGAGCCUUGGGAGACAACUUUGGUUAGAGGAAGUGACUCAGCUAAAAUCCAGUCAGAGAGAUUGAUGAGGAGGCCUUGAAGUAAAAGGAAAAUUAGAGAAACAAACAAUCUAAUGAAAACUAAGAAAGGCAAGGUGUCGAUCAGUAGGGUCAAAGAUGAGAAAAGGGACAAGGAUCAGGUCUGAGAAAGGGCCAAUAGAUGGGACCAUUGAGAACAUCAGUUAUCUGAUCCCCUUAUUCAAUAAACUGGAUUAGUGCCCUGUUCUCAUCACAGUGACAUCCAAAAUCCUGGGUUAGAUUUUUAGAGCUCUUCAUUUCAUAAUCACACCCUCCUCACACACACUGUAUACCCACCCCCAUCACACACACACACACACACCACACACAAAAACACACAGUACACACAUACCAUAGACACAAUACACACACUCCCACAUACCACACACAAAGACACACAACACACAUACACCCCACCCCCACACACACACCCCAGUCUUCUCACACCUCGUCACACACACACCGGUUAUCUCCCGGGCUCUCGGCUCCCACCAGCAUACAACAUCCCAUCUCUCCUAUUCCCUUUGGCUGUCCCUCAUACCUGGGAUGCUCUUUCCCCUCUCUGCUUUGGGACUUCUCUGGCUUCCUUCCAAUCCCAGGUAACACCCCCCUCCCUCGUACAGGAAGCUUUCCCUGGUCUUUCAUAAUUCCAGUGCUUAACCUGUGUUAGUUCUCUCCUGUUUUUCCUGUGCUUGGUUUGUACUUAGUUAUUUGAUUGCCUCCCACCUUUGAUUCUGACCCUCUGCCCUCUGCCUUUUUCUCUGUUGCCAGUGCCUACUUUACAGAAUGCCUCCAACAUGGCAGGCACUUAAUAAAAUGUUUAAUGACUGACUGCCUUGGGAGAGAGCAAUUUCAGUUGAAUGACGAGGUGAAAAGCCCAGAUUGCAAAACUUUUAGAAGAGUGUGAAGAGGAAAUGAAGAAGCAGAGUUGUGGACACUUAUAUUGAACAAAGGCCCAGGCAGCACCAUCUGACCUCUGCAGAAGUUGGGAGGCAAGUGGUGACCCAAGAUUGGGAUUCUGUCAAUUGUUUUUAAUGGAGUCAAAUCCAUGUGUUUAUUUUUUUUUUCUUUAAUCUUGGGCAUUUUCUCUUUCUGUGAACAUAACUUGAAAAAACUAUAGAGCCAAUUUUCAUAUACAGAUGUAUUCCAUAAAUGCUAUACUUUUAAAAUACAUUGCUGCCUUCUAGAUAAUUUAUUCUGCAAUAUAUUAUGCACAGUUGUAAAUAACAUGUAUUGUAACAUCACUUUCAGUUAUGUGUAAAGAAAUAAAUUAAAAUUUUAUAAAUAUGUAAAAAACAUUAAGUGGUGUGAAUGACUUGCAAUCAUUCCAGAAAAUGUACAUGAUGAAAUCAUAGAUUCAAUGUUGUUUUCUCAGCCUUUACCUAAAUAUAUUAGGGUAUUCUACUUUGCCCAUGUGAAAUCUUUGUUUGGUUUUAUUGUGCUCCUAACACUCAAGCUCUGUCAUCACCUUAUCCUUUCAAAUAGUUCAGUUAUUCAUCCUUUGGAACUCAUAUCCUGUCUCAGUCUUACUGACCACCUAGCUCUGACUUCAUUCAUGAAGAAAAUACUCAUAUUUGCUUUAUGACAUGUAUUCUAAUAUAAGUUGCCUUCAAGUAGAGAUAGGCUGCUUUGUCUGGUCCCAGCCUCAAUAAUUUCCAAGAAUUUGUCCCCAAACAUUUAGAAUCUUUACUUGCUAUGGAAAUUAGAUAAAUUAAAGUGGGAAAGGCCAUUUGUUAUGUUUGUUCUACCACAGGCAAGAAUACGUUAAAUUCAGUUCCAUUUAAUAAACAUUUAUUAAAUAUCUAUUAUGUGUUUGGUGUGGCUGAUACAAAGAUAAAAUCAUCACCCAAAGAGAGCUUAGGUUCUACUGGAGGUAUUAAUUUUGAGAUAAUGGGGAUCAGUAGACAACUUACACAGUGACAACAAUUCAACUCACCGUGUCUCCUUCUUGAGAAAACAUCACUUUAAGAAAUUAAACAAAAAAAUAACCUAAUAAGUGUUCUAAAUUCCUGGCAUGAUUAAAAAAGGAUUCCUGGAACAGGAACAAACUGCUAGUUUUUUUUUUUUAAUCAUUAGCAGUUCUGUUGUUAUCUUAUUGCCUCACUGCUCUCUAAACGAAUAAGGCAUUCCCCUCUUUUUAUUGUUCUUUUCCCUAUCUUGGAGGCCAUACUGCCUUUUGUACCCAGUUCCCUAGAAACUGGAAGCAUUUGCAUUGUUUGCUUUAACCUCUUGUGCAAUCCUUCCUGCUGUUGAAAAAGUUCUGAUUCAGUCUGUAAUAGCCAUAAUAAAUAAGGUUAACAUUGCAUCAUCUAAGAAGUUGCAGAAUAGAAAAGUAUUUAAAAACAAGAAAUCUCCUAUCCCACAUCCUUGUGAUUUCAAAUAUAUUUUAGGGAAUAAUACUAUCUUUUAAGUGGAAUUAUUUCUUAGAACAGAACUUUAUGUGACUGAAAUCCUGAUUUCAUUGGUAAGCCAGAUAGGAUCCCUUGUGCCAGAACAAGGCAGACACUGGCUGCUUAAAACUUGGAUUAACAGAAGAAAAAGUGGACAUGAAUAUAUGGAGAAAGUCUCAAGGCAGCUUUUUAGACAGAAGUUCAAGUGUGAUAAAUAUGGUGGUCAGAACUGAAUUUAAACAGGGGAUAAAAUAGAAAUGGUUUGUAGUCCAGAUGUAAAUUGAAAACAAAUUAGCCACUUUCUCAUUUGUGAUCUUACUGGAAAGAGUUCAAAUCAAUCUAUUAAUUUUGAUCAUUCGUUUUCAUCUUUUUGUCAAGAAAAGAUUCUUGAUAAAUUUUAGAUGUAGGAAGAAAGAGUUCUCAUAAUUCAGUCCUUAAAAUGCAUGUGAUAUACAAUGCAUACAUGAGACUGGGAGCACUGAAUCAUACAGCUGAAAGGAGUCUUACUUGAGAAAAGGUACAGUGUACUUGGGGGAAAUUGAAUAAUUACAAAACACAGACCGGGGUGCCAUAUGUUCUAAGGAAACUUGAUACUUAUUUGAUUGUCAUUAAUCUUAGUGGAAAAAAUUAUUGCAAGCAGGUAGGAUGAUGUCAAAAAUUCAUAAAAGUGGGAAUGCUUUAGGUAGAAAUAUUGUGCAUUUUGAUUAGAAGUAUUUAGGAACACUUGGAAUUAGGAUUAGUAAGACUGGGAUAGAAUGGUGAACAUCCUUGGAUAAAUUUGAAACAGCAAUCUGAGAAAGAAUAUUUUAGUAUUUUACCUCAUAUUUGAGUUUUUCUAUAACAAUAUUAAAGCUAGAUAGAGGUUUAAACAAUACCAUUUCCAUAUUUCUUCAGAAUCCUGAUUCUAUGUGUUCUUAAGAGAUUUGUCAUUUUGUCAAAGAUGAAAUUGAAUUUCUUGAAGGAGAUCAAUGCUUUGUUUCAUAUCUGAUUUACUUUAGUGUUUUUUUUUAAAUUAAAAAUAUAGUUCUAUCAUAAUAUCCCAAAGAGAGAUGAUCACAUUUCACCUUAUUUUCUAACUGAAUUUAUCAAAGACCAGCAAAUCUCUAGGGUAUAUAUUAAAAAAAAAUAAAGCAGCUAUGAAAUAUAGAAGAUGGUACAUUUAAUACGCUUCAUGUCAUCUUUAUAUAAGUAAGAAACUUUGACCAGGUUAACUUAUAAAACUUACCUUGGCCUCUCCCUAACACAAGUUCAAAUUGCCUAACUACAAUUAGUCUUGUGUAAGAAUUGAAACUAAUAUAUCACUGAUGGAAAAGAAAUUUUACAUAUUAAUACCAAUUCCAUUUUCCAAGUACAACUGUUAAGAUCUAUUUUCUGCAUGUGUGUGUGUGUGUGUGUGUGUAUGUAUGUGUAUGAAAUCUCUAUACUUUAUACAAACGUCAAAUAAUGUUAAUGUUACCUGCAGCUGUUUUCUUAAUUUGAUUUUUAUCAGAGAUUAGUUAAUUCCAGGCUAAAGAAGACAGGUGUAGAUAUUCAUUAAAAUUGAUUUAGUCUGAAAGUUA